GAAACCAAGUGAUUUCCAUGUCAAGUGGUGAACAGGCUAAGAAGAAAAACAGAGUCUCGCUGCAUCCCCCAGGCUGGAGUACAGUGGUAUGAUCUUGGCUCACUGCAACCUCUGCCUCCUAGGUUCAAGUGAUUCUCCUGCCUCAGUCUCCCGAGUAGCUGGGAUUACAGGCGCCCACCACCAUGCCCGGCUAAUUUUUGUAUUUUUAGUAGAGAUGGGGUUUCACUAUGUUGGCCAGGCUGGUCUCAAACUCCUGACCUCAGGUGAUCUGCCUGACUUGGCCUCCCAAAGUGCUGGGAUUACAGGCAUGAGCCACCUUGCCUGGCCUCUUCCUAAUGAUUUUUUAAAGUACAUCUUGUUUUCUCUGUCUUACUUUAUCAUAAAAAUAUAUGAUACAAAUAAAAUACAGAAUAUGUGUUAA
Molecule: long non-coding RNA, 421 nt
Organism: Homo sapiens (human)
Lineage: Eukaryota; Metazoa; Chordata; Mammalia; Primates; Hominidae
Source: Ensembl